Camellia sinensis is the source of this 1445-nucleotide non-coding RNA. Lineage: Eukaryota; Viridiplantae; Streptophyta; Magnoliopsida; Ericales; Theaceae. The record is from RefSeq and is a predicted model, not a curated record.
CAUAACUAAAUUACUUAAAUAAUUGAACUCUCAAAUAGGCAACCGGCUACACCGGUUAGAAGGGGAAACAAAAUUGAAUCAGUGUGUUUGGCCCUCUUGUUGGCUCUUCUCCUCCCUUUUCUCUUCCGCCAUAGCUGAAGCUUCCAAGGACCACCAGCCUCGUCGGCGAUCCGGGCUUCAGCCAUGUCGACAUCUUCUUCGCAAGCUCUCACUCUCUGGACGUCUCCACCAUGGGUUUGUUCUAGUUGUUCUUCAUCAAUCGCAACGAUCUCUGUUCUUCAUCGAUCUCGAGGCUAAUCAAACUCGAACUCAAUCUCUCUCACUAUUAGCUCCCAUCUUGAGUUUGCAAAUCGCAAAUCCGAAAUCGAGUUUGAAUCAAAUCAGAUCUAUCUUGCUCUUUAUCUCAGAGCAACUGAGGACCAUGGGAAGCUAGCGACAAUAUACAAGUCGAAGAAGAGGAAUGAGAUGGUGGAAGAGGGAUACUGGAUUUUGGGCUCUGGAGACCAAUGGAGCGAUCUUUUGGGUUCAUCAGUUUCCAUCCGCUCGUUCAAGCUUCCAAAUCCCAUGUAUUAUAUUCCCUAAUUGGACAGGAAAUUAAAGAGGCGGAUACAGAUGAACAUUAUCGACCUAAAUCUCCAAUAGGAAUCAUCAAUGUGACUCUAAAAGAGAAGGUUUGAAGGAGGUUUUAUCAGUUUAAAGCUUCUUUUAAUGGCAUGGUUUCCCCAUAUUAGAUGCCAACGUGCUGAUAAUCACCAAGCAAGCAAGAGGUUUAUGGAAAGUAUAAAUUUUUAGUCCAGGGUCGCAAGAUGGGUCAAUAUGAACCUCAUAAGUUGAAUUUCGGUUGUACGGAUGGGAUGGGAGACGAUACGUACGAGCGGGUGCCGCAAGGUCAAUCCUAUUAUUUUCCGUGUAUGGAUGGGACACAAGAGAGCGCAUUGCAAAUGGUGGACAAAAUUGGAAGCUCAUCUUUCAGUGAAUCAGGAAUGGCGAAUAGGUUUUGAACAGAUUGAGAACAGGUUAUAUUUGAUUCUGAAUAGGUUUUGAACAGAUUCAGAACAGAUUAUAUUUGGUUUUGAACAGGUUCUGAAGAGGUUAAUUUCAGAUUUUGAACAGAUUCUGAACAGGUUUUGAACAGGUUCUAAAGAGGUUAAUUUCAGAUUUUGAACAGAUUCUGAACAGGUUAAUUUCAGAUUUUGAAUUUCAGAUUGUGAACAGGUUAAUCUAAUUUUCAGAUUCAGAUUCUGAAGAGGUUAAUCUGAAUUUCAGAUUCAGUCAAUUUGUGUAGAAUGACAGGUUCAGAAGCAGAAUCACAGGUUGAUUGUUUGAAGCAGAAUGACAGGUUCAGCCGAAUAAAGUUCAGAAUGAUGCAGUCCAGAAUAAAGCACUCCAGAAUUGAAGCUCAGAAUGAUGCAGUCCAGAAUUUAAGAAUGAUGCAGUCCAGAAUU